UUCCCCUUUCUGUGUUCAUAACUGGUGCUGGGCCAUAUGACUAGAAUCAUUUAACUUUAUUGCAGUUUACUUGAAUACUUGUUUUUUUUUUUUAAAUAGUUUUUUAUUUUUUAUACAGACAAUUUCACAGAGAUGCUUUACAGAGAAAGAGGAAAAUGGGAAAGGCCGAACAUGAACCCCCCAGAAACCAGCAUGUGAGGUAAAAACUCCCCAGAGGGAAGAAGAAAAAAAAACACCUAAACAACUAGAUUUUAACUCACAGUCUGGUCUUUGUUCUACUCGGUACAUUUCAUGAUCAGUAAUUUCAGUUUCUCUGUAGUUGACACACAUGAAUUCUUCGUAUGAUAUUUCAAUAUAAGAGUUUGUAAUGCUUUCAUUUUUGAUAACAAUUGUCAACGUUGUGCUGUGUCUGAUGGCUUUUUCCUGUUUCUAUCCUCGACAGUUUUUAAAGGAUUGCUGUCUGCUAUGCAGUCUUAUGAAAUCUUGUUUUUAAAUUGUCAAAUAAAUUCGUUCACUCAUUCUGUCUUAUUUUAUUCUCGGAAAGCUGAAGUGCAGUACUAACAAUUGAUUUUCUAAUGAGAUCGCUGUUGUACUGGUUUUUCCCCUAUUACAAGAUAUAUUGCUGUGGAAGUAGAGCCUGCUCCUUAACAGUAAGGCUUGUCAUAUGCAGGCAACCAUUAAAACUGGUGUAAUUUUGUCUGUAUGAAUAAGAUGUAGUGAAAAUAUUUGUAAAGUGGAUACUUUUUAAAUGAAUGUCUGUUACUGUUUAUUGUGUCUCUACUGAGGUACGCUUAGACUAAACAAAUGCAGAUCUGGACAUGGUCAUAACCUUUGAUGCAUAUAAACAGUGCCCUUUCCCCUUAUGAUCAAAGGGCCAAUAUUGUGUCUGUAAUGGGCUGCAAUUUGGGCCCUGCUUUGCCAGUAUAAGAUGAAACAUUGGUGCAAAUUAAGUUAAAUUUUUUGCUCGUUGGUAAACUCCAGCAACAAUCCAAUUAAAUUGAUAUGAGUCUCACUUGAUUGUUAAACGAGAAAGUCGAAGCUGUUGGUUUUAUCCCACUUUCCUAUGUACAGCUUUUCCCAUAGAGGCAGUUAUGAACAACCUCGAAGCUGAUCCAGGGUCAAUAAGUGCUGCUCAUACAUUGCCCAGCUGGUGACAUUAAAUGGACGCUGGCUGGUCCUGGAACAGCGGCACUCUCUAACGCUGCGCUGUUUCAGCUGGGUCUCACUGCACUGACUCCAGGGCAAUUGAGAUCCGCCAGCCGCAGCGCUGCAGGCCAGGGUGCACUACCUCUUUUCUGCCACUAGAUGGCAUAAAAACGCUGAGUAUUUCACCAGCUUCACAUAUUGCAGACUGUGCCAGACGGUAGCGUGGGAAUGGCCAGAUCGUCAGCUCUUCUACAUUUGAGUAAGCACGGCACUCCUGAUAGAAAUUAUGAAUGGACUGAGGGGAGGAGUUACAUUCUGACCUAUUUAAUCAUGCACAAACUUGUCCUUUUCAUUUAGCUGUGGAUUAGAAAAGAUUGUAUUAUCUUUUCAUUAUAAUGUGCUUCUGCCACUGACAGUAUUCUGAUGUUAAAGUGUAAAAGGCAGCUAGAAUGACUGAAAUAUGAAUGAUUACAAUUAGUAUGUUAAAUUAGAUUCCUGUUUCAGUGUCUGUGUGUGUGUGUGUGUGUGUGUGUGUGUGUGGGUGUGGGUGCAAUCAUGAGAUCAUGUGCCCAAAAAUAUGCUACUACUACUACUACUACUGCUACUACUACUACUUCUGCUACUUCUACUAUUUCUUCUUUUUCUUCUGUUUAUAGGAGGAGUUUGUAGUCAUUACAGGAACUGUCCCCGGCUCUUGGAUAGAAGCUUCCUUCCACUCUGUAUCACCUAAGCUGUGUAGAUAUUCAAACAGAGGACUGUGCAGCAGACACAGUUGGCACAGGCAGACUACAGGCAGACUACAGGCACCUAAUUAACGCUGUAAUGGUGACCAAUAUAGAAGCAAUGUUCACCGCCAUUGUUAAUUUCAUCACCACUGCUGCUGGGUACAGCAGUGUAGCAGCUAUGUCAGCACAUGUAAGGUGAUCGGACUUACAAUCCAAAGUCUACCCAUAAUUAAGCAAUAUACUUUCUGAAUUGAAUUGGUCUUCUAGCUUUUAAGAUGUCAAUCAUUCAGCCUCUUAAGGAGAUAUUCUUUUCUCAGUAAUCUGUGCAGGUGGUUCCUGUGGGGCAGUUGCCUGUGCAGAUAGUUCCUUUGGGGCAUUUAACUGUGCAAGUGGCUCCUAUGGGGCAUUGGCCUGUGCAAGUGGCUCCUAUGGGGCAUUGGCCUGUGCAGGUGGUUCCUGUGGGGUAUUUGCCUGUGCAGGUGGUUCCUAUGGGGUAUUCGCCUGUCCAGAUACUUCCUUUGGGGCAUUGGCCUGUGAAUUCACAUUUGGUACAUAUAGCGCGACACAGAUCCAGAAAACCGUAUGUGGAGUGGAUGUGGUGUAUGUGGGAGACAUGGCCGCCACUGAGGCACAGCCGGAGGGAACGGUCUCCAGCGCACGCCCCUGCACACUGAGCCGGAGGGCCGGUGGCGAAACCUCCGAGGGCGCGGGCGUGGCAGGGUGCACUUCCUGCAGGAGCAGAACGGACGCAUGGGGGCGAAGCCUUAGUGCAGGAGACUGGAUGACCCCAUCCACAUUACGGGCCAGGGUGUGCCACAGAGAGAAGCGCUGCCCACUGCGUGCAGACCAGGCGGGUUUCCCUAGUAAUGGAAGCUUCUGUCACCUUCCAGAUGUCAACAUCUCUCACCUGCUGUUGUCACGUCGAUCAAUCACCUGUAUCCAGGACCCCGUUCCCUCACCUCUUCACCAGAUCUUCUCUUCCGCCAUCCUCCCGUUCAUCUCCUUCAUGAUCAAUUCAUUACAUUCCUAUGGCUGUGUGCCUCAAGGGAGCUCAGGUCAAACCUUUGGGGAAGAAACAGACUCUAGACCCUUCCGCUGGACAGAAUUAUUGUCUGGUCCUUGUCUGGUCUGUGUCCUUUUCUCUCUGCUCUCUUAUUCCAUUACAAUCAAUUAGCAGACACUUAUACAUAUGUACAGAAAUGUAACAUUAACCAAAUAAACAGCAAUUUGUAUUGCAGCUAAAAAAAGUACUAUACAGCGAGCCUAUCAUUACACUGCUAUACCUAUGACAUUAUCCAAAAGGAAAUCCAAAGCAAGAAAAAGAAAAUUAAAAGUUAUAUAAAAGGGGGUCAGGGGAGCCAUAAUGCCAUAGGGGCGACAUAGCUCAAGAGGUAAGACCGAUUGUCUGGCAGUCGGAGGGUUGCCGGUUCAAACCCCGCCCUGGGCGUGUCGAAGUGUCCUUGAGCAAGACACCUAACUGCUCUGGCGAAUGAGAGGCAUCAAUUGUAAAGCGCUUUGGAUAAAAGCGCUAUAUAAAUGCAGUCCAAGAGGUGAGUCUUCAGUAUACAGUGCAAGAUGGGCAGAAUUUAUGCUGUGCUGACUACAAUGGAAAGCUCAUUCCACCACCAGAACAAACAGGUGACGUGACCCGGAAAUGCAGGGGCCUCAUUUAUAAAAUUAUUGAUUUGAACUUAAACGUAAUCAUAAGAUAAUUUCCCAAGCUGUGCUUAUACUUGAUUUAUAAUAAAAUACCUGAGGCUGAAAAAAGUAUCUUAUUUUUGUUUAGAGUGGCAUAACUGUGUCUCAUGCACCUGUGAUAUUUCAGCCUCAAGGGAUAUAGAAUUCCUGUGAAUGUGCUUUUCCAUUACCUCUUGUUUUGAAUGUGGCAAAUGAUUUUCCUGUGAAUAAGGUUGCGCUUUCACAUUUUUUGCACUCGUCAUGCCUAAAAUCGAUCAGUUCAAUUAUAAAUUAAAUGUUAUUCUAAACACUCUAAACACAACCAACCUGAGGGAUUUGUGUGCCGGCUCUCAAACGUGCAGUAUGCCCGCAUAACCAGCAGUUAAUUUACUUAUGUCUUGUAAAAAUGUUUUGUAGAAACAUCGUAGAUACGAUCAUGUCCAUGUCGAAGUGCGCUUUUAAGAUGCAACUUGAGCGUGAGUGCAUUUUAUAAAUGAGGCCAGAGGCAUGGAGGGAACACCGGGCAUGCAGAGGUAGUCUGGAGGGGUCUGGUGGUUCUGUAGGGUCUGAUGAUCUUUCAAAUACAUAAUGGAGCUGUCUCUUUAGCUGCCCGAUAGGCUAGCGCCAAGGUUGUGAACUUUAUGCAAGCUAAUAUAUGUAACCAUUGGAGGGAGAUGAAAAGGGAUAUGUUUGAGUCUGGGGAGGUUGCAGAUCAGAGCAGCAGCAUUCUGGAUGAAGUCUGAUGACUGAGGCCAGGUGGGAGAUGAUCAUUGACUUGACUAUGAGCUGGUUUGACUAGGUGGUGAAGAAGGGCUGGGUUGUCCUAAUGUUUUACAGGAAGAAUCUGCACGCCCAAAACAAACUGCUAUGAUAUUCUUAGAGAGGGACAGUUUGCUGGAGGUAAAAAAUCAGAGAUUGUUUCAGAAUUCAGACUCUGAAUUUAAGUCAAUUAUUUGUCAUCCAGUUUGAGCUGUCUUGUAGGCAAGCUGAAAUGCAUGCUCAGACCAAUGUAUUGAAGGGGGGAAGGAGAGAGUUGUGUACCAUCAGCGUGGGGUGAUAAGACAGGCUAUAGAAAGAUGACAGAGUGAAGAGACUUGGUAUAGAGAAAAAAGAGGAGAGGACCGAGGUCGGAGCCUUGGGGGACACCUAUGAAGAGUUCCUGAGAUCUCAAAACUUCCUAUUUUCCCUUUACAUAUCUACACAGGUUGAAUGCGCUGUAGGAAUUAGUUCUAACCAAAAAUAAAAUCAAACCUAAUUUGUCAAGGAAUAAUUGCUCACUGAGAUCCACAAUGUUACUAUAGCAUUCUAUUGGAACAUGCAAGUUGUUGUAUUAGAAUAGAUUCCGUAUAUGCUCCAGUAGAAUGUAUUCAAUUCAUGUAGAAUGUUCAUGUAGACUCCAGUAGAAUGUUACUGUAACAUUGUAGAUUAUAUAUUCCAGUGGAAUGCUACUGUACUGUGCAGAUUCUGUAUCCCAGAUUCCUCACUCUCUCAGCAACAUUUUGCUGGUAGCUUUAAAUUUUAGAAGAGAUUCAUCACUAUUAUAGAAGCAUUUUUUUGAACUGGAAUACAGAAACAAUACUAUUUGAUUUCAUGUCUGUUUGGUAUUAAAAUUGCUCCAUGGUUUUGUACAAUGACAUUAGCAUACUGUAGAAAAUACAUAUUUAGGUAAAACUUGAUUAUGGUCUGAUUUAUCAUGCAUAUAACUUUUAUAUGUUAUGUAUUGCAUCAUAACUAUUGACAAAAUGAUACAUAAGUAUUAUAACCAGCUUAUAUUAACUCCUUUUCAGAAAAUAUGUGACGUGAUAUUACCUUACUAUAAGUUCACAUUCAUAUCAGAACAUCUUUAUUUCAGUUGGCACAAGCCUGCCAUAAUGUUUAUUUACUUAUUUAUUGAUUUAUGCUUUAUAGCCAUUAUUUAGCGCUCAAAACACUCUGAAGGUCCACUUCAAGACACAUUUUUGUUUUCGUUUUUGAUUAUGAUUUUUGUUCUCCUUCAAGAAUGUCUUUUGUAGGUUCAAGGUCAGCUUCAGUGGAAUAUUGUAAAGAAGAAUGGUGUACUUCUGCCUCUUUGACCCCCACCUGAGGACACUCCUAACACACAGAGUUUCCCUGUUGACCGCACUCUUCUCCCAUCCUCUCUAUGCACGAGUUGUUGCUAUGAUUACAGCUCGGCCAUGGCGCAGUGAAGGAGAGACAUAGAGAGGGAGAAAGGAAAGAAGGGAGGGAGGAGAGGGAGAGGAGAGAGAGAGAGAGCAUCUGUUCUGUCUGCCCUGGGAUUUUUGGCAUUGGGACACUGAGACAGAGAGAAGAUUGUCAGAAGGCACGCUCCCUCUAUCUCUCUCUCUCUCUCUCUUGCAC
Molecule: long non-coding RNA, 5906 nt
Organism: Anguilla anguilla (European eel)
Lineage: Eukaryota; Metazoa; Chordata; Actinopteri; Anguilliformes; Anguillidae
Exons: 4
Source: RefSeq, a predicted model, not a curated record